This 571-nucleotide ribosomal RNA is filed under the name Priestia megaterium. RNAcentral describes it as "bacterial SSU rRNA". It matches the Rfam family "Bacterial small subunit ribosomal RNA", at positions 858 to 1428 of the family's 1533-position model. The record is from RNAcentral. Lineage: Bacteria; Bacillati; Bacillota; Bacilli; Caryophanales; Bacillaceae.
CAUUAAGCACUCCGCCUGGGGGAGUACGGUCGCAAGACUGAAACUCAAAGGAAUUGACGGGGGCCGCACAAGCGGUGGAGCAUGUGGUUUAAUUUGAAGCAACGCGAAGAACCUUACCAGGUCUUGACAUCCUCUGACAACUCUAGAGAUAGAGCGUUCCCCUUCGGGGGACAGAGUGACAGGUGGUGCAUGGUUGUCGUCAGCUCGUGUCGUGAGAUGUUGGGUUAAGUCCCGCAACGAGCGCAACCCUUGAUCUUAGUUGCCAGCAUUUAGUUGGGCACUCUAAGGUGACUGCCGGUGACAAACCGGAGGAAGGUGGGGAUGACGUCAAAUCAUCAUGCCCCUUAUGACCUGGGCUACACACGUGCUACAAUGGAUGGUACAAAGGGCUGCAAGACCGCGAGGUCAAGCCAAUCCCAUAAAACCAUUCUCAGUUCGGAUUGUAGGCUGCAACUCGCCUACAUGAAGCUGGAAUCGCUAGUAAUCGCGGAUCAGCAUGCCGCGGUGAAUACGUUCCCGGGCCUUGUACACACCGCCCGUCACACCACGAGAGUUUGUAACACCCGAAGUC